This 435-nucleotide ribosomal RNA is filed under the name uncultured bacterium. RNAcentral describes it as "partial 16S ribosomal RNA". It matches the Rfam family "Bacterial small subunit ribosomal RNA", at positions 341 to 792 of the family's 1533-position model. The record is from RNAcentral.
ACGGAAGGCAGCAGUGGGGAAUAUUGUACAAUGGGCGUAAGCCUGAUGCAGCAACGCCGCGUGAGCGAUGAAGGUCUUCGGAUCGUAAAGCUCUGUCCUUAGGGACGAAGAAGUGACGGUACCUGAGGAGGAAGCCCCGGCUAACUACGUGCCAGCAGCCGCGGUAAUACGUAGGGGGCGAGCGUUAUCCGGAAUUAUUGGGCGUAAAGAGUACGUAGGUGGUUCUGUAAGCGAGGGGUGAAAGCCCGGGGCUUAACUCCGGCGAGCCUUUCGAACUGCAGGACUUGAGUGCAGGAGGGGAAAGUGGAACUCCAUGUGUAGCGGUGAAAUGCGUAGAUAUUAGGAGGAACACCAGUGGCGAAGGCGGCUUUCUGGACUGUAACUGACGCUGAGGCACGAAAGCGUGGGGAGCAAACAGGAUUAGAUACCCUGGUA